CCGUUCGGACGCGCUACACCGUGCCUUUUUGUUUUCAGAACGGCCGAGUUACUCAUCCGUUCUAUUCUGGACGCCUGGCUCAGCGAUUCCGGAGGGCAGAAGGUGGUUUCUUAGGGGCAUCAAACAGGGUGAGUCUGGUAACUGGGUCGAGCUCGCGGGACUCCCGUCACGGACGAAUUUCGAAAAAAAAUGUUGCCGAACGAAAUUUCACGCUGUUCGACAAGCUCUGCGAACGAAGGAAUCGUGCCACUUCCAGAAGAAUGUGCAGUUCUAUUUCAAGAAAGGUGCAGUUGCACUUUGAGCAAGUGUUGAGAAAAGGAACCUGCGAAGAAAAUAGCGCUGAAGGAUAAUGGAGCUUGUUGACACUGAAACCACCGAAACAAGUCGGAACGACUGGAAUUCUGGACUUCUGAAUUUCCGGAUCUUACAGUUCCGGAUGCUACAAAACUGCGAAAUUAUAGAGAUUCCUGGACAAUCUUCUUCGCCGAAGCUUGCGUUGCGGUACAAAUUGUACGGGAGGCUCGAGUAAAUGCGACUUCGUCAUUGCUACAGAACAAUGUACAUUAUUGCUAAUUAGGGUCAGAUGGUUCCAGCGCGUUGAACAGCGUAAAACUCUCUGCGUUCUUUUACUUUAAAUUCUUUUGGAACACAGCUGUAGCUCAGCUCCGGUUACUAGAUCCGACCCGAAUCGAGGAAAUCUAACAGAGAAAAAUCCUAGAGUCGCAAAAGUUCUAGACGCAAAAUCCGCGAGCUCGCGCGUGUAAUCGCGGGGUCGCGCGGUCGUUUGUUUACCCGUGGCCGGACGUAACGUCGCGUACGCGAAGGAGCACGACAGGUCUCGGGACGACAGAUAGAGCGAGUCCGGCCGGGUUGGGGAGACGGAGGGAGGGUAGAGAAGGUGGAAGGGAGAGUACUAUAGACUCGGUGAAAAAAGCAAAAAAGGGAAAAGGAACCGUCCAAGGCCCGUCGAAUGGUUGAAUCGGCUGUAACCCGCCGCGUAUAGGUAUAGGUGGUUCGUCGGGACCGCUCUCGCGAGCUUUGGAAGCCGGAGUGCGCGCGCAGCUCGAGCGUACAGUAGUCGUGGUCGUCGGAGAGCAGGCGCCCUCGCCGCAUCUCUCCCCGCCUGGUCUUGGCCCGCAGCAAGGCGCACCGUGUGUCGAGCCGAGCCGAGCCGAGCCGAGUCGGUCAAUACUCCGGGCAACGCGGCGGUGAGAGCACACCACGGUCGCCCGCACGAGUGCACGCCUCGCUCGCUCGCUCGCUCGCCCGUUUACUCGCGCGACAGAUUCUCUCUCCCGUACCGUCGCGUCUGCGAGCGCCGAUCAUCCUCGUCCCGGUGAUCUCCGGAUUCGGAGCGCGAACAGACAGAGAGCGAGAGAGAGAGAGAGAGAGAGAGAGAGAGAGAGAGA
Non-coding RNA from Megalopta genalis, 1409 nucleotides. The record is from RefSeq and is a predicted model, not a curated record. NCBI's taxonomy places the organism in Eukaryota, Metazoa, Arthropoda, Insecta, Hymenoptera, Halictidae.